RNAcentral lists this ribosomal RNA (788 nucleotides) under uncultured bacterium. RNAcentral describes it as "bacterial SSU rRNA". It matches the Rfam family "Bacterial small subunit ribosomal RNA", at positions 8 to 796 of the family's 1533-position model. The record is from RNAcentral.
AGAGUUUGAUCAUGGCUCAGAGUGAACGCUAGUGAUCUGCCUUAUACAUGCAAGUCGAACGCAAAUUCAAAUUUGAAUAUUGAGUGGCGAACGGGUGAGUAAAAGAUAAGAAUUUAAUUUACAGUUUGGAAUAAGGGCUUUUAUAGUCUUAAUACCAAAUAUAAUUUAAUAUUUUUACAAUAUUAAAAAAAGAUUUUAUCGCUGUACAAAAAGCUUAUCUAGGAUUAGGUUGUUGGUGAGGUAAUGGCUCACCAAGCCGACGAUCCUUAAUUGGUCUUAGAGGAUGAUCAAUCACAUUGGAACUGAAACAAGGUCCAAAUCCUUUAUAGGGUCAGCAGUAGGGAAUAUUGGACAAUGAGCGCAAGCUUGAUCCAGCAAGAUCACGUGAACGAUAAUAUUUUUUGUUAAAAAUAUUUAAGAAGGAUAUAUUUCUGUAAAGUUCUUUCAUCGAGGAAGAUAAUGACAUUACUCGAAGAAGAAGUCCCGACUAACUUCGUGCCAGCAGUCGCGGUAAUACGGAGGGGACAAGUGUUACUCGGAAUUACUGGGCGUAAAGGGCUUUUAGGCUGUUUUUUAAGUUAAAAAUGAAAUCUUGAUAAAGGUUAUCAAAAGUGUUUUUAAUACUGGAAAACUAGAGUAAAACAGAGGACAGUAGUAUUCCUAAAGUAAAGGUGGAAUUUUAAGAUAUUAGGAGGACUAUCAUUAGGCGAAGGCAACUGUCUGGGUUUUUACUGACGCUGAAAGGCGAAAGCAUGGGGAGCAAAUAGGAUUAGAUACCCUAGUAGUCC